UACGUAGGGUGCGAGCGUUGUCCGGAAUUACUGGGCGUAAAGAGCUCGUAGGUGGUUUGUCGCGUUGUUCGUGAAAUCUCACGGCUUAACUGUGAGCGUGCGGGCGAUACGGGCAGACUAGAGUACUGCAGGGGAGACUGGAAUUCCUGGUGUAGCGGUGGAAUGCGCAGAUAUCAGGAGGAACACCCGUAGCGAAGGCGGCACUCUGGGCCGAUACUGACACUGAGGAGCGAAAGCGUGGGGAGCGAACAGG
RNAcentral lists this ribosomal RNA (253 nucleotides) under uncultured bacterium. RNAcentral's name for it is "partial 16S ribosomal RNA". It matches the Rfam family "Bacterial small subunit ribosomal RNA", at positions 524 to 776 of the family's 1533-position model. The record is from RNAcentral.